This 468-nucleotide ribosomal RNA is filed under the name uncultured bacterium. RNAcentral's name for it is "partial 16S ribosomal RNA". It matches the Rfam family "Bacterial small subunit ribosomal RNA", at positions 28 to 507 of the family's 1533-position model. The record is from RNAcentral.
GACGAACGCUGGCGGCGUGCUUAACACAUGCAAGUCGAACGGAAAGGCCCUGCUUUUGUGGGGUGCUCGAGUGGCGAACGGGUGAGUAACGCGUGAGUAACCUGCCCUUGACUUUGGGAUAACUUCAGGAAACUGGGGCUAAUACCGGAUAGGAGCUCCUGCUGCAUGGUGGGGGUUGGAAAGUUUCGGCGGUUGGGGAUGGACUCGCGGCUUAUCAGCUUGUUGGUGGGGUAGUGGCUUACCAAGGCUUUGACGGGUAGCCGGCCUGAGAGGGUGACCGGCCACAUUGGGACUGAGAUACGGCCCAGACUCCUACGGGAGGCAGCAGUGGGGAAUAUUGCACAAUGGGCGGAAGCCUGAUGCAGCAACGCCGCGUACGGGAUGAAGGCCUUCGGGUUGUAAACCGCUUUCGCCUGUGACGAAGCGUGAGUGACGGUAAUGGGUAAAGAAGCACCGGCUAACUACGUG